GGCUGCAGAAUCACUAACUGUACAAAGGUAGCAUAAUAAUUUGGUUUCUAAUUAAAACCUUGAAUGAACGAUUUAAUGAGGUAUAAACUUUAUAAAUAAAAUAAAUUUAAAUUUUUAUUUAAGUAAAAAAACUUAAAUUUAUAAAAAAGACGACAAGACCCUAUAGAAUUUUAUUUAUUUAAAAAUUAAAUUUAAUUUAUAAUAAUUUUUAAAUAAAUUUUAUUGGGGUAAUAAAAAAAUUUAACAAAUUUUUUUAAAAAUAAACAAUAAUUAUUGAAAAAAAAUCUUAAAAUUUAAAUUAAUAAAAUUAAUUACCUUAGGGAUAACAGCAUAAUUUUUUUUAAAAGAUCUUAUUAAUAAAAAAGAUUAU
Molecule: ribosomal RNA, 370 nt
Filed under: Diachasmimorpha longicaudata
Lineage: Eukaryota; Metazoa; Arthropoda; Insecta; Hymenoptera; Braconidae
Description: partial 16S ribosomal RNA
Source: RNAcentral